ACCUGGUUGAUCCUGCCAGUAGUCAUAUGCUUGUCUCAAAGAUUAAGCCAUGCAAGUCUAAGUAUAAUCAAAUUAACUGAUGACACUGCGAAAAGCUCCUUAAAAUAGUUAUAAUUUAUUUGAUAGUGACGUUACUACUCGGAUAGCCGUAGUAAUUCUAGAGCUAAUACGUGCGCAAACGCCCUACUAUGUGAAUGGAAGGGCCGUGUUUAUUAGAUCGAAAACCAGCGCCUCAUUUGUGUGGGUGACCGCACGGGUGGGGAACACUUGUUGAGUCAUGAUAAUCGUCGUAUCGACUUUAGUCGAUUUUUCAUUCAAAUUUCUAACCUAUCAACCUGACGUUAAGGUCGUGUCUUAGAGUAGUCGUGACGGGUGACGGGGAAUCAGGGUUCGAUACCGGAGAUGGGGCCUGAGAAAUGGCCACAAUUGCUAAGGUGAGCAGCAGGCGCGCAAAUUACCCACUGGCAAUAAUAUUGCUGAGGUAGUGACAAAAAAUACCGAUAUCGGACUAUGGUUCGACAAUUGGAAUGGGGUAGGUACAAAUAGCCCACCGAGCAACCAUUAGAGGGCAAGUCUGGUGCCAGCAGCCGCGGUAAUUCCAGCUCUAAUAGUGUAUACUAACGUUGCUGAUGUUAAAAAGCUCGUAGUUGGAUUUAAGAUGGAGCUAUUCGUCUCUGUGUUUUUGUUGGCCCGGGUUUGCUGCUUGGAUGUCUUUCUCUCUGCCGUGGGUUGUUUCAAGAUCCCGGUUGGAGGGGGAGCGCUGGGUGGCGCCGGGCUGGCCGCAGAGAUUGCUUCGUCAAUUAAUUUUUUCGAAUUGUCAUUGUCUUCUUCACUGAUGUAUGGUGACGGUCCGGAAGGUUUACUUUGAAGAAAAUGGAGUGUUCAAAGCAGGCGUUUCGCAGCUGAACACAUUAGCAUGGAAUAAUAAAAUAGGACAUCAGUGGGGCUUUCGCCGGCCUUAUUUUCCCCGAUAUGUUUUUUUUCUUGUCAGGUAUUGGUUGUCUUUGCUUCUGUAAGGGCAGCUGGUGUUUGGUGGGAGGCAUGUUGGGGAGUAGGGAUGUCGGGGGGUCUCUGCUUUUUUUGAUGCAUCCGUUUUGUUGGUUUUCAGGAGCUGGUGUAAUGAUUAAUAGGGACUGUGGGAGGUGUUAGAAUUUCGAUGUCAGAGGUGAAAUUCAUGGAUUUUCGAAAGUCUAACUGGUGCGAAAGCGUUCAUCGAUGAUGUUUUCAUUAAUCAAGAACGAAAGUGAGGGGAUCGAAGACGAUCAGAAACCGUCGUAGUCCUCGCCAUAAACUAUACCGUCUCGGGAUUGGGGGUUGAUUCAAAUACAUAGUCUCCUUUAGCACCGCAGGGAAACCAAAGUUUUCGGGUUCAUGGGGGAGUAUGGCCGCAAGACUGAAACUUAAAGGAAUUGACGGAAGGGCACCACCAGAUGUGGAGCAUGCGGCUCAAUUCGACUCAACACGGGAAAACUUAUCAGGUUCGGACACGGUGAGGAUUGACAGAUUGAUGGCUCUUUCUUGAUUCCGUGGGUGGUGGUGCAUGGUCGUUCUUAGUUGGUGGGGUGGCUUGUCUGCUUAAUUGCGAUAACGAACGAGACCUCUUUUGAUAACUAGGGGGGCGCCACGGCUCGCAAGUGUCGUGGUGUUGUUACCCCUUCUUAUAAAGACUACCGUUGAGAAACGGGGGAAGUGAGGCAAUAACAGGUCCGUUAUGCCCUUAGAUAAUCUGAACCGCACGCGUACUACUCUAGUCGCUUCAGAGCGCUUGCCCGGGCCCGGAAGGGUUGGGUACUCGUUUGAAUAGCGACUGUGCUGGGGAUCGAUUUUUGUAAUUCUGAAUCGUGAACGCGGAAUAUCUCGUAAGUGCAGUUCAUCAGACUGCGCUAAUUACGUCCCUGCCCUUUGUACACACCGCCCGUCGCUCCUACCGAUGAAUGAGAAAAUGAAACGUUCGGAUGGUGCAGUGGCGGAGAGUCUCUCGGGGUUCUCUGUGACCGCUCCAGAAGAGCAGUAAAUUUUAUUAUUUAGAGGAAGGAGAAGUCGUAACAAGGUUUUCGUAGGUGAACC
Molecule: ribosomal RNA, 2067 nt
Filed under: Pyrsonympha grandis
Lineage: Eukaryota; Preaxostyla; Oxymonadida; Pyrsonymphidae
Description: SSU rRNA
Rfam family: Eukaryotic small subunit ribosomal RNA
Source: RNAcentral